Molecule: ribosomal RNA, 60 nt
Filed under: Tetraphis pellucida
Lineage: Eukaryota; Viridiplantae; Streptophyta; Tetraphidopsida; Tetraphidales; Tetraphidaceae
Description: partial 26S ribosomal RNA
Source: RNAcentral
AGACCUCAGAUCAGGCAAGACUACCCGCUGAGUUUAAGCAUAUCAAUAGCCGGGAGGGAA